UACCUGCAGCUCAAGUGGUGACCACUAUUAUUGGGCCUAAAACGUUCGUAGCCGGUUUAUUAAAUGCUUGGGUAAAUCGUGUAGCUUAACUAUACGAAUUCCGGGUAGACUGAUAGACUUGAGACCGGGAGAAGCUAGAGGUACUCCUGGGGUAGAGGUGAAAUUCUGUAAUCCUGGGGGGACCACCAGUGGCGAAGGCGUCUAGCUAGAACGGGUCUGACGGUGAGGAACGAAGCCCUGGGGCGCAAACCGGAUUAGAUACCCGGGUAGUCCAGGGUGUAAACGCUGCUUGCUUGAUGUUAGUUGGGCUCCGAGCCCAAUUAGUGUCGGAGAGAAGUUGUUAAGCAAGCUGCCUGGGAAGUACGAUCGCAAGAUUGAAACUUAAAGGAAUUGGGCGGGGGAGCACAGCAACGGGUGGAGCGUGCGGUUU
RNAcentral lists this ribosomal RNA (430 nucleotides) under uncultured archaeon. RNAcentral describes it as "bacterial SSU rRNA". It matches the Rfam family "Archaeal small subunit ribosomal RNA", at positions 474 to 903 of the family's 1478-position model. The record is from RNAcentral.